RNAcentral lists this long non-coding RNA (4948 nucleotides) under Spirodela polyrhiza (greater duckweed). Its description in RNAcentral is "long non-coding RNA (SPOL_LNC001083)". The record is from RNAcentral. Lineage: Eukaryota; Viridiplantae; Streptophyta; Magnoliopsida; Alismatales; Araceae.
AGAGAGAGAGAGAGAGGCUCCUCCAUCUGUAGCAGAGGCUUGGGCCUCAUCCGCCUCCCUGCAUAUUUUCUUCUUCUGCUCAUCGUUGACCGGGGACGGGAUACGGCCGCUGAGUUUUUCUUUCUUCUUCGCCUCAUCGUCGUUGGCCUGGGGUAGUCUUCUCCCUCAGCAGACUCUAACCUUGGACCAGUCUGGCCUCUUAUGCUGUCCUAACCACAAGCUUGCUCCUCCUGCUCAUCAUCGUUGACUUGUGACGAAGUACGAGUGGCUGGGUGCUUAGUUGGGCACUCCUGGGCUCAUACGAGUGGAAGAACUGCACAGCUUUUCAAAGAACAAGUAGCGGUCAAAUAAUCCCGAAAGAGGAAAAAAUCAGCUUUUUUUCUCAAAUUCGGGAGAUUCUGUGGGUGCUUGGCGUUGGAAGCGAAGCUCUCUUCAUCACUGAGGAUGGAAUCGGACCAUUUCCCCCAUCUGGUGGAAAUAAAAUAAAAACCAAUUAAUGGAAUUUCAUGCGGUUGUUCAGUGAUGGGACGGCGUGAAAUAAUCGAAUUUCCUUUCCUUUUCUUCUCUCUCUUUUUAGUGCCAUCUUCUGAUUCUUCAUGCUAUCUGUGAACAGGGUUGACCAGCGGCAGCUUCCGAUCUCCAGCAUCAACGGCAUGGAUUUUGCAUCAAAGGGAAUAUCCUGGGCUGAGAGUAUAUUCCACAAAUGCGAAGACAUGUGCCGCGAGGGGAUCAUGGUCAAGGUUUGUGAGCUUCUAUCGUAUUUUUGGUGCCGUUUUUUCUUUUUCUUUUUUCCCUUUUAGGAAAUGCCAUUUUCUAAAGUUUUUCCAGCCCUGUGUUUUUCCUGUCUCAGAACUCCUGGUACUAAGAGUGUGAAUCCUUUUUUUUUUUCCAUGAAUAGGAACCUGGGAAAUUCGUGGACGCAGUUGGUGAACAGCUCAGGAAGAUCUACGAAGAGGUUACGGAUGAUCUGCUCAACCCAUUUUCUCUCGUCGAUGAGUCAACCCCCGAAGAUGAUUUGACUGCCGAUGCUCAUGAAAAGAGUACGAGUUGUUGCGACGUGAGGUCAUUGGAUGAGGACUCUUCUUCAUCACCAUCAUCAACUGUUGCAUCGCCUGGUCCACUCCAGGGCAGCAGGGGAGAAGAAUGUGGUGUGCUUGAUGAGAAUAAUGCGUUGACUCCAUGUGGGUCCCGUUCAUGCAGUAGCUCGAGUGAAGUGAGAGUCAACGCCGAGAAAAUGCCAAGUGCUUCAACAUCCGCCGACCAUUCAGAGCACAUCUCAUCAGGUGGGGUUCUUCAGUCCGACGUUCCACAGAAGUUGGAGAGGAGAGAAGAAGGUAAGAGCAAUAAAGUUUUCCAUCUGUUUCUUACUGCCCUCUCUUCUUUGCACCAGGAACACUAGCCCUAGUAGAUAUUCUGGCAGGGAUCUCCACGUCUCAGGCUGCAGUGGCUCAAUCUUCUGGAUGCCAACAUGAACAGGGACGCGGUUUAAGUGAGCCUGAAGCCUCCCUCCCAUCGCCAGCCCCUGGUAUGCCCUCCUGGGUCAUUCGCUUCUGUUACCCUUUCUCUCUCUCUCUCGCUCUCUCUCUCGGUCUGCUUUUCUUUUUUUCACUGGUUGUAGCUAGUGAUUGGAGACUAUAUUAUAUGCGGGUUUGAUGAGAGAGUAUAUUUUUCGCUUCAUCAGACCCUUGGGAGCCUUUGAAGCCUCCACCUCUCUACAACCACAUUGAGUAGUCCCAUGGCUUUUAUCCAAUCUCUUAAAACUACUUGUCUUCCUUUCUGGUUUGGUGGCUUCGCUUCUGUGAUGAGUGGGGGAACUUGAUGAAGUUUAUUUGGCUGACUUGGACCUUCCUGAGGAUUGAUGAAUGUGAACAUUGAGGUGUUCAAGCUGUGAGAUCUGCCCGCAUUAUGGGUGAUAGAUAGAUCUCAAGAAUGUGUAGAAAUUGUCUAGAGCAUCAUUCCUCAGAGACCUUGACCUUAUGUCAUACUUAGUUCUGCUGCUGUGGAAGGAGAGCUGACCUUAGGGUUGACUAUGUGGCAAAAAAAGGGGCUGUGGCUUUUAGGGCUGGUCUCCACCGAAACCUGCGCGGGCCGCCUGGCCUAUCUUAACUCACUGCCCUGUUUUCCUUGCCUGUGUGUGAGCAGAACCAUGCCGGGCUUUCAGGCUCACCUUGCCCACUGGGCACUCUCCUUUCAGGAUGUAGAAUCUGAUCUUUCCAAGGUCCUAACUGAUUGUUCUGGCUUUGCUUGGUGCAGAGGGCUCUGAUGGGCAUGGCGAGCAGAAGGCGGGGCAUUCUGGGAAGUUUGAGGCUGCAGACGCGGAGAGUGGGGGGGAUGAAGAAUUUGAUGACGUAGGGCUGGAAGACUUUUCUGACAGAGAGAAGCAUGUGGAUGACUUGGAAGAAGCUGACAGUUGUGAGCUUGCCCUGAUCUCGCAGAGGGCGAUGAAGAAUCACUCGUACAAGGUAAGAUUCGAACCCGUGUGUUGAAAUAUCUUGGAAAAAACUCGGUAUGGGAUUAAAGGAUAAAAUUAAUCCUCCACUAUCAAGUCAACACUAGCUUUGAUUUUGGUAAAACGGGAUCGAGUAGCUUUAAUUUCCUGUCUAGAACCUUAAUGGAGAGUGUAGGACCCAAGUAGGCUUAGAGAGAGAGAGAGAGGGCUUAUGUGCCCCAUUUACAGGGACUUGUUUCGACGCGGUAUUCUUGUAUUUGGAGUUCCUCUGUUGCCUGGUAGUGACUGACGUUUAGAAUUUUCUAUUUCCAGAAAAAGCUGAGAGAUGCCCUGGCCUCGAAUUUCUACUCUGCUAGGAAGAAGUGGGGAGCUCGCCUCGGAGGAGGCGCCGACGCCAGGCUUGUAGAGAGAGGUGCUGGAGGAUCUCCAGCCGCCUCCGGUUUCAGGGUCUCUCCGGACAGAGGCUUGUCAGCGCAGGGACCAUCACCGUGCGAGCCUGAGUGGGAGCUCGUCUAAGUAAGUUCUUCCUAGGUGCUUCCCGAUUUGGCUAAAAUGUGGCCUUGGCGAAGGAAUAAGUGCUAGGAACAGAGACGAAGAUGAGAAGCCAGUGAGGGUUGGGCGAUUGUUCAGUCUGGAACCAUUUACGUUGCUCUGACUUGUACGUGUCUUGUGAGAAGUGCGGACCAGUUGGGCUCAUCUCCAUCUCCGAUGGAGAAUGAGAAGUGAGAGGAGAGUGGAGGAGGGUAGGGGGAUUUUGGCGGGUCUAUGGGCCUUGAAUAAUAUACUAUUUUUGUCCCAAAAGAUGAAUGUCAACGUGUGACAGGGUGCACCUCACACGUAGUUCGGGGGUGUACUCAGGCUUCUGUGACAGGUGUCGCCCCCCUCGGGAAUCCAACCGCCACGGAAAAGCCUGAGAUGCGCCGCCCCCUUCCCCGUUCUUAUCAUCUUCGAGCAUCAGGAGGAAAGAAACACACGGAGCUCAGAGCCAGAGAGCAAUGGCUUCCAUGCAGAGGGGUGACGAACAAGCAGGGGUGGAGAAGGAAGAGGAGAAGGAGAUGUCACUGGAGGAGAUCGGCGAGUAUCGGGCUUUGGCCCAGCAGAACUCUGUCGAGGCCAUUAGGGCCGCAGAGGAGCGCUACGCCAAGGCCAGGGAGUCCACCGCCUCUGCUCUCAAGGAGACCAGGGAGGCCGUAGGGCAAGGGCUCGGCGCCGCCGUGGCCUACGCCGCCGCCAAGGGGGUGGAGGCCAAAGACGCCGCCGCGCAGGGAAUCCGCACGGCGGCGGACUACACGGCCGAGAAGGGCUCCGUGGCGAAGGAAUUCGCCGUGGAGAAGGGUCAGCAGGGUUAUCAGGUGGCCAAGGAGUACGCAAACCAGACGGCCACGAUGGCGUCGGAGAAGGCCGCCGUGGCGAAGGAGGUGGUAGCAGAGAAGGGUCGGAGAGGGAUGGAAAUGGCGGUGGAGCAGGGUUCGAAAGCGUACGAAGCGGCGAAGGACGCCACCAUAAGCACAGGGAAGACCACCGCUGAGUACGUCCGGGAGAAGGCCAUGGAUGCGAAGGAAGCGGCUGUUGGUGCAGUUCAGGGCGGAGAAGAGACCUUCAGUGGCGACAAGAAAGAGGGAGCAAUGGAGAUUUCUGGCCAAGUGGAGACUAGCGCCGAAGACUCUGUGUACAAAAUCCUCCUAGCUUCUGAUGCUUGACUCUCUUGCAGGAAAUCCAAGGGGAGGAAGCACGCCAGACGAAGGAGAAGACGAGGGGCAUGGCAGUUGCCGAUGAACGAUCAGCUCUGGAAGAAGAGCACGAGGGGGAAGAAGUGGAGCGCGAGCUGGGAUAUCUGAAAGCCGAAGGAAGGAGGACGACCGCUGUCGAGGACUUGUUCGAAGCCGUGGGGAAAACUGUGAUCGGCAUCGCACAGACGGCUAAAAACCUGGUAACUGGAGGAGAGGCGAAGCCAAGGGAAGGGAACGAGUAGGAAUACUACCACCUAGCAGGGGGCGGACAGCACGACAAUACCACCUUGCAGAUCGAUUACCCGCAGAGUAUUAAUGGAUAGUAAAGUCAGGGAUCCCUAUAGCCUGCAGAUCAUUGCAUAGGCCAGAUGUCAUCAACACGAAGUUAAUCAUCCUGCCGUUUGAAGAUCCAGUUCUUCUUGCAGUGUCUGUACAUUCCCUAUAUCAACACUGCCCCGACCUAUAUUUCUCUCCUCUUUGAAAGAUCGAUCUCCCGUGAUUCAAUCUAGACUGUCAAAUAUAGUUAAACCACCAAGAAAGGGAUCUCAGUCAUGGCGGAUUGCUUGCUCAGAAGAGCGUUCCAUGCCAUGGCGGGCUCCCGGAUAAUGGAAAACGAGCGAGAGUCGAGAAACUAUAACCAUUCUCAUAUCGCACAAACAGAGAAGUCCGCCAGUAGCGGGAACAGGGAAGAAGACGACGCACCUCAGCGCUCUCGUUGAUGGUGCCGACGUCGGCGGCGGCCCCAGGACCCUCCGGGUGGACGGUAGCU